AUACGGAGGAUCCGAGCGUUAUCCGGAUUUAUUGGGUUUAAAGGGUGCGCAGGCGGCCAUUUAAGUCAGCGGUUAAAUCGUGGGGCUCAACCCCAUUCUGCCGUUGAUACUGGGUGGCUUGAUUGCGGUCGAGGUUGGCGGAAUUCGUUGUGUAGCGGUGAAAUGCAUAGAUAUGACGAAGAACACCGAUUGCGUAGGCAGCUGACCAGACCGCAAAUGACGCUCAUGCACGAAAGUGCGGGGAUCGAACAGGAUUAGACACCCUGGUAGUCCGCACAGUAAACGAUGAAUACUUGUUUUCGGCGAUAUAAUGUCGGAGGCAAAGCGAAAGCGAUAAGUAUUCCACCUGGGGAGUACGCCGGCAACGGUGAAACUCAAAGGAAUUGACGGGG
This 392-nucleotide ribosomal RNA is filed under the name uncultured bacterium. RNAcentral describes it as "partial 16S ribosomal RNA". It matches the Rfam family "Bacterial small subunit ribosomal RNA", at positions 523 to 918 of the family's 1533-position model. The record is from RNAcentral.